RNAcentral lists this non-coding RNA (27 nucleotides) under Mus musculus (house mouse). Lineage: Eukaryota; Metazoa; Chordata; Mammalia; Rodentia; Muridae. The record is from RNAcentral.
UAGAAGGGGGGACCAGGCAUGGUGGCA